CCUACGGUGGCAGCAGUGGGGAAUAUUGGACAAUGGGCGAAAGCCUGAUCCAGCCAUGCCGCGUGUGUGAAGAAGGCCUUCGGGUUGUAAAGCACUUUCAGUGGGGAAGAAAGCCUUGGGGCUAAUACCCUCGAGGAAGGACAUCACCCACAGAAGAAGCACCGGCUAACUCCGUGCCAGCAGCCGCGGUAAUACGGAGGGUGCGAGCGUUAAUCGGAAUUACUGGGCGUAAAGCGCGCGUAGGUGGUCUGAUAAGCCGGUUGUGAAAGCCCCGGGCUCAACCUGGGAACGGCAUCCGGAACUGUCAGGCUAGAGUGCAGGAGAGGAAGGUAGAAUUCCCGGUGUAGCGGUGAAAUGCGUAGAGAUCGGGAGGAAUACCAGUGGCGAAGGCGGCCUUCUGGACUGACACUGACGCUGAGGUGCGAAAGCGUGGGUAGCAAACAGGAUUAGAUACCCCAGUAGUC
Molecule: ribosomal RNA, 464 nt
Filed under: Vreelandella stevensii
Lineage: Bacteria; Pseudomonadati; Pseudomonadota; Gammaproteobacteria; Oceanospirillales; Halomonadaceae
Description: partial 16S ribosomal RNA
Rfam family: Bacterial small subunit ribosomal RNA
Source: RNAcentral